Non-coding RNA from Nelumbo nucifera (sacred lotus), 1169 nucleotides. NCBI's taxonomy places the organism in Eukaryota, Viridiplantae, Streptophyta, Magnoliopsida, Proteales, Nelumbonaceae. The record is from RefSeq and is a predicted model, not a curated record.
UCCAAUCCAAUGUUUUCAUUCGCCCGAUUUCCCUGUUAUACUAUUCGUCCUCUUCUUCAAACCAAACAUAGGCAACGACAGCGGUGAAGAAUCCGACCUCCUCUUUGAUUUUCAAUCUCUUCCUCUCUUUCCUCUCUCUUUUUCUCUUUCCCUUUAUCUAUUUUUCUUCCUUUUCUUCCCCUUAUUCCUCUACCCUCUUUACCCUAUUCUUGGUCAAUUGAGAUCACCGCCGCCGUUGUGGCUUCCAGCAGCGAUGGUGGAUCUCCUUUCUUCUUUCCCACUCUUCUCUCUCUCUCUCUUUCUCUCUCCCUCUCUCUAUCUAUUUAUCUAUCUCUCAUUUCUUCUUCUUCUGAUUUGGGGAUACACUAAUUCUCUCCCUCUUUUGAUCCAAAACCCGAUGGCAAUCUCCCAUUCCCCAAUCUCUUAUCUUUAUCCUCCAAUCUUUUCCCCCUUCAUUCCAUCUCUCAUUUUCCCUUUCGCCUUUUUUCCUACCCAUCCCUCUCAUCCCUUUCUCUCUUAGUGAUCCGAACUGUGACGUUCCAUUACUGUUAUCUUCUUGAUGAGAACAGAGGAGUUGUAGUGGCGGCACCCUUCCUUCAUUUUCAUCCAUUUCCAACACACCCCUCAUCGUUCAUCAUUUCGCCCCCCAUGUUCUCAAUUUUCACUAGUGAAGAAGAAACCACAGUAGCAACCAUCAUUUGGAUCCGUUCCCUUCUUGGUCUCCAGUGUAAAUCCCCACCCAGACAAUCAUUUCUUCUUACCAAGCUUCCGGUCUCUAGCGUAAACCACAGUAACAACCGACAAACCCUCGGAUCUCUUGUAGCAACGUUAAUCCUAGGAUAAAUCCAUCCAAGUGCCAUUAAUCUCUUCAUCUGAGAGCAGAGUGGGUAUAGACCCCUCUGACGCAUUCGUUGUUUGAAGGUUAGUAAUUUAUGAUGGAAUUCAAUUGAAGUUCCUCUAUGUAUCCGUCAUUCGUUCUCAGGCCACAUCCUCCAUCAGGACGAAAUAGCGAAAGGUGGGGUAUCAGAGCAUUGCGGGACUGCGAUAGAGAAGAGAAGAGAUGAUUAAUUAGAUUACAUUUAAGAUCUGGAAUUCGGCCUGGUAAGACGAAAGGCCUAGCUCGAGAAGUUCGAGGGUUGAAGGAGAGAUCUGGAGACUGCUACCUCUGA